Molecule: long non-coding RNA, 928 nt
Filed under: Olea europaea subsp. europaea
Lineage: Eukaryota; Viridiplantae; Streptophyta; Magnoliopsida; Lamiales; Oleaceae
Source: RNAcentral
GUCCCCAAUACCACUAACAGUCUGAAAAUUAUUAUCACCCAUAUAAAGCUUAUUGGGUUCAACUUCCCUACAGUUAUAGAACCAUGACGUGAAGGAACUCAUGUGAAAUGUAGAGCCUGAAUCUAAAAUCCAGUCUUGAUUAAUGUCCUCACAAGACACAGUCAUAACACGCAAGCUGUCCAAUUCAUAACCAAUAGCAGCAUUGUUCAAUUCCAUAUUGUUUUGAUAUUUUACUUCAUUUUCCACUCAAAAAAAACCCCUCUUAAAGUGCCCUAGCUUCCUAUAGCCAAAGCACUUAUUAAUUUUAUCUUUGAAUUUAGACCUCCUAUUUGAUUUUCCUUUUUCUUUCCUUACCUGAAAGUCAUUCUCUCCUUUUUCGCUUCUCCCCCUUACAAACAUACUCUCUUCCACAGAGGCUCUAUUGUCAUUCUUAAUCUCUAACUCACUUGAUCUCAAAGCAUCUAUUACAAUUGCUUGUGAUAAUUUGUCCAUCGAGUAUUUUACUACAUUUCUAACAUCCUUGUAAGAGUCAGGCAAAGAAUUCAAUAAACUGCAACCAAAUCUACAUCAUCAGAUUUCUUAUCGUUAUAUGCAAGACUCUUCACUAUUAUACUAAAAUCACUUAAAUUCAAUUUUAAGUCUAUUUCCAGGUCCAUCCUAAAAUUAAAUAAUUUCUCCAAAAGGUGGAUCCUAUUUAGCAAUAUCUUAGCUAGGAAUAAAGCAUCAAGUGCAGUCCAUAAAUCCCUAGCUUUCUUAGCUUCAUCAACUUGUCUAACAAUAUAAUCAGACAAAUGCAAAAUUAUAGAACUAUAUGAAAUCUCAUUCAUUUCCUCAAUUUCAGUAGGUUUAGCUUUUAAAUCAACCGAAAAUGCUUCAGGAUCAUCAAGGGCUUUAGCAACCCUUUGUUGGACUAAAAUAGCCCUCAUUU